RNAcentral lists this unclassified non-coding RNA (253 nucleotides) under uncultured Elusimicrobia bacterium. RNAcentral's name for it is "contains 16S-23S intergenic spacer region". It matches the Rfam family "Bacterial small subunit ribosomal RNA", at positions 524 to 776 of the family's 1533-position model. The record is from RNAcentral. Lineage: Bacteria; Pseudomonadati; Elusimicrobiota; Elusimicrobia.
UACGAAGGUGGCGAGCGUUACUCGGAAUUACUAGGCGUAAAGGGCAGGUAGGUGGUCCGAUAAGUCUGUUGUGGAAGCCUCCGGCUUAACCGGGGGAGGUCAACAGAAACUAUCAGACUUGAGUAUAGGAGAGGGUACUGGAAUUCCCGGAGUAGCGGUGAAAUGCGCAGAGAUCGGGAGGAACACCGAUGGCGAAAGCAGGUACCUGGACUAUUACUGACACUAAGCUGCGAAAGCUAGGGGAGCAAACAGG